This is a non-coding RNA of Podarcis lilfordi (Lilford's wall lizard), 85 nucleotides long. The record is from the annotation of a GenBank genome assembly. NCBI's taxonomy places the organism in Eukaryota, Metazoa, Chordata, Lepidosauria, Squamata, Lacertidae.
AGUUCAAACAUGAUAGCUCAGUUGGAAGAGCAUGAGACUUUUAAUCUCAGGGUCAUGGGUUCGAGCAUGGCAGGGGGUUGGACUA